AUGGAAGCGUAUACGGUGGAUGCCUUGGCAGUUAGAGGCGAUGAAGGACGUGUAAGUCUGCGAAAAGCUGUGGUGAGCCGACAAAAUGCAUUUGAGCCACAGAUGUCCGAAUGGGGAAACCCACCUGUUUACAGGUAUCGUUGCGUGAAUACAUAGCGUAACGAGGCGAACGAGGGGAACUGAAACAUCUAAGUACCCUUAGGAAAAGAAAUCAAACGAGAUUCCCCUAGUAGCGGCGAGCGAACGGGGAACAGCCCUUAAGCUGUUUAGUGUGUAGUGGAAUCCUUUGGGAAGAGGAGCGAUACAGGGUGAUAGCCCCGUACACAAAGCGUGCUUUACAGUGAAAUCGAGUAGGUCGGGACACGUGUUAUCUUGACUGAAUAUGGGGGGACCAUCCUCCAAGGCUAAAUACUCCUAACUGACCGAUAGUGAACCAGUACCGUGAGGGAAAGGCGAAAAGAACCCCUGUGAGGGGAGUGAAAUAGAACCUGAAACCGUAUACGUACAAGCAGUGGGAGCCCCAUCACUAAGUGCCUUUAGUGAUGUGACUCACAAAGCAGUAAUAACCAGUUUGAUUUAACGUUAACGUUGACCUGCGAAGCAGCCAACGGUAAACCGCCAAAAUCAAGCAGGGUGCUUAGUGAUGGGGUGACUGCGUACCUUUUGUAUAAUGGGUCAGCGACUUAUAUUUAGUAGCAAGGUUAAGCGAAUAGCGGAGCCGUAGCGAAAGCGAGUGUUAACUGCGCGUUUAGUUGCUAGGUAUAGACCCGAAACCCGGUGAUCUAGCCAUGAGCAGGUUGAAGGUUGAGUAACAUCAACUGGAGGACCGAACCCACUGACGUUGAAAAGUCAGGGGAUGACUUGUGGCUGGGGGUGAAAGGCCAAUCAAACCGGGAGAUAGCUGGUUCUCCCCGAAAUCUAUUUAGGUAGAGCCUCGGACGAAUUCCAUUGGGGGUAGAGCACUGUUAAGGCUAGGGGGUCAUCCCGACUUACCAACCCUUUGCAAACUCCGAAUACCAAUGAGAACUAUCCGGGAGACACACGGCGGGUGCUAACGUCCGUCGUGGAGAGGGAAACAACCCAGACCGCCAGCUAAGGUCCCAAAAUAUUGCUAAGUGGGAAACGAUGUGGGAAGGCACAGACAGCUAGGAGGUUGGCUUAGAAGCAGCCACCCUUUAAAGAAAGCGUAAUAGCUCACUAGUCGAGUCGGCCUGCGCGGAAGAUGUAACGGGGCUAAGCAAUAUACCGAAGCUGCGGCAGCAUGUUUACAUGCUGGGUAGGGGAGCGUUGUGUAAGUGGAUGAAGGUGAGUUGUAAAGCUUGCUGGACAUAUCACAAGUGCGAAUGCUGACAUGAGUAACGAUAAUGGGAGUGAAAAACUCCCACGCCGGAAGACCAAGGUUUCCUGUCCCAUGCUAAUCAGGGCAGGGUAAGUCGGCCCCUAAGGCGAGGCAGAAAUGCGUAGUCGAUGGGAAACGGAUUAAUAUUUCCGUACUUAUAUAAUCAGUGAUGGAGGGACGGAGAAGGCUAGGCAAGCUUGGCGUUGGUUGUCCAAGUGAAAGCGAGUAGGCCGAGAAUUUAGGUAAAUCCGGAUUCUUAAAGCUGAGACGCGAGACGAGCUCCCAAGGGAGUGAAGUUGUUGAUGCCCUGCUUCCAGGAAAAGCUUCUAAACUUAUGAUUAUAUGAACCGUACCCCAAACCGACACAGGUGGUCAGGUAGAGAAUACUAAGGCGCUUGAGAGAACUCGGGUGAAGGAACUCGGCAAAAUUGUACCGUAACUUCGGGAGAAGGUACGCCUCUGUUUGUGAACACUUCGCGUGGUAAGCAAAUGGAGGCCGCAGUGACCAGGUGGCUGGGACUGUUUAUUAAAAACACAGCACUCUGCAAACUCGUAAGAGGACGUAUAGGGUGUGACACCUGCCCGGUGCCGGAAGGUUAAUUGAUGGGGUUAGUCCUCGGACGAAGCUCUUGAUCGAAGCCCCGGUAAACGGCGGCCGUAACUAUAACGGUCCUAAGGUAGCGAAAUUCCUUGUCGGGUAAGUUCCGACCUGCACGAAUGGUGUAACCAUGGCCACGCUGUCUCCACCCGAGACUCAGUGAAAUUGAAAUCGCAGUGAAGAUGCUGUGUACCCGCACCUAGACGGAAAGACCCCGUGAACCUUUACUACAGCUUGGCACUGAACAUUGAACCUACAUGUGUAGGAUAGGUGGGAGGCUUUGAAGCACAGUCGCUAGAUUGUGUGGAGCCGUCCUUGAAAUACCACCCUUGUAUGUUUGAUGUUCUAACAUUGGUCCCUAAUCGGGAUUGUGGACAGUGUCUGGUGGGUAGUUUGACUGGGGCGGUCUCCUCCCAAAUAGUAACGGAGGAGCACGAAGGUUAGCUAAUCACGGUCGGACAUCGUGAGGUUAGUGCAAUGGCAUAAGCUAGCUUAACUGCGAGACAGACACGUCGAGCAGGUACGAAAGUAGGUCAUAGUGAUCCGGUGGUUCUGUAUGGAAGGGCCAUCGCUCAACGGAUAAAAGGUACUCCGGGGAUAACAGGCUGAUACCGCCCAAGAGUUCAUAUCGACGGCGGUGUUUGGCACCUCGAUGUCGGCUCAUCACAUCCUGGGGCUGAAGUCGGUCCCAAGGGUAUGGCUGUUCGCCAUUUAAAGUGGUACGCGAGCUGGGUUUAGAACGUCGUGAGACAGUUCGGUCCCUAUCUGGUGUGGGCGUUGGAUGAUUGAUGGGAGCUGCUCCUAGUACGAGAGGACCGGAGUGGACGAACCGCUGGUGUUCGGGUUGUCAUGCCAAUGGCAUUGCCCGGUAGCUAUGUUCGGAACGGAUAACCGCUGAAAGCAUCUAAGCGGGAAGCCGGCCCAAAGAUGAGUCAUCCCUGACCUUUAAGGUCUGGAAGGGUUGUUAUAGACGAUGACGUUGAUAGGCAGGGUGUGGAAGCGUUGUAAGGCGUUAAGCUAACCUGUACUAAUUGCCCGAGAGGCUUA
RNAcentral lists this ribosomal RNA (2984 nucleotides) under Alteromonas mediterranea. RNAcentral's name for it is "bacterial LSU rRNA". It matches the Rfam family "Bacterial large subunit ribosomal RNA". Lineage: Bacteria; Pseudomonadati; Pseudomonadota; Gammaproteobacteria; Alteromonadales; Alteromonadaceae. The record is from RNAcentral.